AUACGCCUCGCAAGUGGGCUCAUUUUCGUCUUCUGCGCAUGAGAAAGGAGGCGCAAAGGCGGGAGAGGAGGUUGAUGACGGUUCCGGCUAAGCUCCGCCCUCGCACAUGUCGGGGAGGCCGGGGGGUAAACAAACAUCGGCGUCGGCCAUGGCGGCCGUGCGGUAGCGGCGACCGCGAGUCUUUUGUUUAUUGUAGCCCGGUUAAAAUUUGCCGAGUCCACAAGAUCGAGCAGCUUUGUGCCCCUCACGAUUCCUCCGUCGUCUGCUAGAAGCAUUUCGAAGAUUCCAAGAUGAAGACGACGAAGAGCAUCAAAAGAAGGCGCUUGCCUAGCCUCGCGAUUGAAACGCCGGUUGCGCCGGUCACUACGAGACCGCCGCCCGAUUGUACCGGUCCCAGAUGGGCUGUUGACAUCCAGAAACACUCCAACAGAUGGUGGUCAUACAGCGAUUGUGAAGAAUGUGAAGACAGUCCCAUUUGGAUCCACAUUCUUAGUCCACUCAUUGAUAAUCUUUCCUUGUUGCAUCAAUGCCCAAGUAUGCCAGGCACUGAGCGACUACUCGCAUGUGUUACUGAUGGUGGCUUGCGAGGCUUCAGUAUUGUCGCUGCAGAUAGGGCUCACCCCCACACCAAAGCUGUUGGUGGUGUACGUUUCCAUGGAAUUGUUUGGUUGAUCCCAAUUUCCUAGAAGCGCCAAUAUUCAGUUUGGUGUGCCUUGCGGCUGAAGUAGAUUCAUCAAGGAGGUCUCGUCUCUUUCCUGGGGGCAAUACCAUGUCAGCUGCUUUGCAUGAACCACUUGGAAACUGUUUGGACUGCUCUAAAGCACUUGUAAUUGACCUUACCUGUUGUGUCCAUGCUAAUGCUGAAACGUAAAGUUCACUGAACCAAGUUUUACUAAUGAACUAAAACAAUCAGUGGAAAGGAUGAAUGGCUUUAUUUGUUUUCUCGAAGUAUACACUGUUUCAUACAUAAUACAUGAUGCUGGCAACGCUACUUUCAUUAGCAGACAACUUAGUCUACACUCUGUUUCACUAUAGCUUGGUGAACUGUGGAGGCUACGGCUCCUGCGACCCAGUAAGAAUGUCGGAGCGAGGCACAUGGCAGCAUGUCACAGGAGCGUCCGUGUCACCGCGCCAAAUGCAAGGACCACCCACCAGAACCGGCUGUCGUAUGCUCAGAAACCAAACGAAUUUGGAUGGACGUCCACUGCAGUAACAUUACCGUCCGCUAGAGUAGCGAGGUCUUCAGUAACACUUUUAUGAGGCAACCACAUGCUCAAUUUGCCCAUGAAUCUGUGGCGGGUGCUAAUGCUAGGGCGAUGUUUUGAGCGGAAAUGGUCAAUUCACGGCUACGAUUGUUUGAACGUCGAUCACAAGCCAUGUUUUUCUCAAAAGUGUUGAUCUAUAUUAAGUGUCGUUAAUAAGUGACAUAUGUCUUAGUCUUUCUUCAGUGUCGUGUAGUGUUGCGGUCCGAAGGAUCCGACGGCAACACUACUAAAAGAGGAAGAGAAAAAAAAAAAAACAAGCC
RNAcentral lists this long non-coding RNA (1525 nucleotides) under Ixodes scapularis (black-legged tick). Its description in RNAcentral is "uncharacterized LOC121046289". Lineage: Eukaryota; Metazoa; Arthropoda; Arachnida; Ixodida; Ixodidae. The record is from RNAcentral.